This 964-nucleotide ribosomal RNA is filed under the name uncultured marine bacterium. RNAcentral describes it as "bacterial SSU rRNA". It matches the Rfam family "Bacterial small subunit ribosomal RNA", at positions 56 to 1064 of the family's 1533-position model. The record is from RNAcentral.
UGCAAGUCGAACGAAGUAGCAAUACUUAGUGGCAGACGGGUGAGUAACAUGUAGGUAUCUGCCCUUUGGCCUGGAAUAACACGAGGAAACUUGUGCUAAUACCGGAUAAGUCUUUACGGAGAAAGCUUUAUGCACCAUUGGAUGAGCCUGCACUUGAUUAGUUUGUUGGUGGGGUAAUGGCCUACCAAGACUGUGAUCAAUAGCUGAUUUGAGAGGAUGAUCAGCCACAUUGGGACUGAGACACGGCCCAAACUCCUACGGGAGGCAGCAGUGGGGAAUCUUGCACAAUGGAGGAAACUCUGAUGCAGCGAUGCCGCGUGAGUGAAGAAGGCCCUUGGGUUGUAAAGCUCUUUCGUCGGGGAAGAAAAUGACUGUACCCGAAUAAGAAGGUCCGGCUAACUUCGUGCCAGCAGCCGCGGUAACACGAAGGGACCUAGCGUAGUUCGGAAUUACUGGGCUUAAAGAGUUCGUAGGUGGUUGAAAAAGUUGGUGGUGAAAUCCCAGAGCUUAACUCUGGAACUGCCAUCAAAACUUUUCAGCUAGAGUAUGAUAGAGGAAAGCAGAAUUUCUAGUGUAGAGGUGAAAUUCGUAGAUAUUAGAAAGAACACCAAUUGCGAAGGCAGCUUUCUGGAUCAUUACUGACACUGAGGAACGAAAGCAUGGGUAGCGAAGAGGAUUAGAUACCCUCGUAGUCCAUGCCGUAAACGAUGUGUGUUAGACGUUGGAAAUUUAUUUUCAGUGUCGCAGCGAAAGCGAUAAACACACCGCCUGGGGAGUACGACCGCAAGGUUAAAACUCAAAUGAAUUGACGGGGACCCGCACAAGUAGUGGAGCAUGUGGUUUAAUUCGAAGAUACGCGCAGAACCUUACCAACACUUGACAUGUUCGUCGCGACUCUAAGAGAUUAGAGUUUUCGGUUCGGCCGGACGAAACACAGGUGCUGCAUGGCUGUCGUCAGCUCGUG